This is a long non-coding RNA of Leguminivora glycinivorella, 1099 nucleotides long. RefSeq lists it as uncharacterized. Lineage: Eukaryota; Metazoa; Arthropoda; Insecta; Lepidoptera; Tortricidae. The transcript is spliced from 2 exons. The record is from RefSeq and is a predicted model, not a curated record.
CGCUGCCAAAAUCACAGAAAGAAUAAAGUUAAAAGUACAUUUCAUUUGUUAAAAUUCUAUUAUGGUAUCUGAGAAAUUGCAUAAAGACGUCAGUUCAUGGGAUGUGUGAUUCAUAUCAUUUAAAAUUAUUUAUUUGUGUUCUACAUUCAUCAAUUUAACGAAAAAUAGGUUUAACAGGUACUAGAAGAAGCUGAUUUGAAAUUAUUAAUGUCAUCCAGCGUCGAGUAGAAGUGAUAGCCACGAGAUGGACACAGAAAUUGGCAGCAUAGCAUUUACGUUAUGUGUGUUAUAAUAAAGAUAUAUUGCUCUUUUAUUUAAGCAUGAAUGUACGAAUUGUAUACUUAUUUUAUUGUGAUUUCCCUUCAUACCAAUUAUGUGUAGAAAUAUUGAUAAAGAAUGUUUGUUUGUUGUUCGACAAAGUGAGGUUGACAAUUGGUGCAAGUUUACGAAGUUUGAUAAGUACGAGUUUACGAAGUUUGUAGAGCUCAAGUUUACGAGGUUUGUUAGUACUUACAACAUUUUAUUUUCAAAUGCUUAUUAUAAAUUAAUAAAUAUGUUAAACAUUAACAAAAUUAAUACACAAAUAAAAGGACAAAUAAUUGCUUUCUGUAAUUAUUGGUUCUUAAAACAUAAAUGAAAAAUCGAUGUGAUCGAUAAACACGCAUAAAAAGCAGUCGAUUUCGGAACGUCUAUGUCUUUGACAUAUGACAUUAAAGGAUUGAAAAUAUUGUUACCGGCGAAAUAUGUAUAUAAAUAAAAGUGAAAUUACUUGUUGAUUACCUGAAAAUAUGACGGGGAGUCCGUUUCUACACAGGGAGGUAGUACCAGGAUAAAUCUACGCUAAUUCUAGCCACUGUGGUCCCAAUGCAGACAUUCGGUUUUAUGGCUCAUUGGGAAGCAGGCACAGCAAAGAGGUUUGGGGUUUAAUCCCUAGCAAGGACGCCCUUGUGGCGAUAUGAACGCCCUUGGGGCAAAAUGUUGAAAGACUCGAUCUUGAGAUGCCAGUCAUGCUGACCAGUGUGGAGGCAACGAGGACAGCGGUUAGAGAAAGGCUCUAACAGUCAUUCCAUACAUGCAGUGUAGCCACUGCUAACCAAAG